RNAcentral lists this ribosomal RNA (465 nucleotides) under uncultured bacterium. RNAcentral describes it as "partial 16S ribosomal RNA". It matches the Rfam family "Bacterial small subunit ribosomal RNA", at positions 29 to 523 of the family's 1533-position model. The record is from RNAcentral.
AACGAACGCUGGCGGCAGGCUUAACACAUGCAAGUUGAACGGUAUUGUGAUGUGCUUGCACAUUAUGAGAGAGUAGCGCACUGGUGAGUAACACGUGGGAACAUGCCCUUAAGUAAGGAACAACAGAUGGAAAUGACUGCUAAUACUAUAUACGAACUGAGGGGGAAAGAUUUAUCGCUUAAGGAUUGGCCCGCGGCAGAUUAGGUAGUUGGUGGGGUAACGGCCUACCAAGCCGACGAUCGAUAGCUGGUCUGAGAGGACGAUCAGCCACAUUGGAACUGAGACACUGUCCAGACUCCUACGGGAGGCAGCAGUGGGUAAUAUUGGGCAAUGGAGGGAACUCUGACCCAGCCAUGCCGCGUGAGUGAAGAAGGUCUUCGGAUUGUAAAGCUCUUUCGGUCGAGACGAUGAUGACGGUAUCGACUAAAGAAGCCCCGGCAAACUUCGUGCCAGCCGCCGCGGUAA